Molecule: long non-coding RNA, 1111 nt
Organism: Aphidius gifuensis
Lineage: Eukaryota; Metazoa; Arthropoda; Insecta; Hymenoptera; Braconidae
Exons: 3
Source: RefSeq, a predicted model, not a curated record
UUUAUAUUCAAUACAACUUAAGCUAUAGUCAUCUAUUUAAAUUCGCUUGAUAACAAUAUGUUAUAUGUCUUGUCUUAAUGACCACACACUGAUUAAAUUGUUCCCAAAAAUUUAAAAAACACACACUUAUAAUUAUGUAUAUAUAUUGUAGCAAGACACAGCAUGCUCCCUCGCAUAUAUUUCGAUAACUCCCACCAUAUUUACCUGUCGGGUAACGUUGGCAAUGUGGGGUGCAGUGGGGUGUUUGGGUGUUUGCUUGUAAAAUAGAAUAAAAAAAUAGGAAAACUUCACUUCAAGUCCGGCCACCAAGCUACAAGGUGUGUCCGAAAACUAUUUGUUAAACUUGAUUUGGUGAAUUGAAUUAUUAUUAAUAAUAAAUCAAUAAUAAUUCAAUUCACCAAUGAAGAGCAAUUAUUUACAUUUGAACAAAUAGUUUUUAUAACAAAGCGCUUCUGCAAGUGAAUGUAUAUUGACCUGCACAUGUAUUUGCAGGCCACAAAGUUUAAUUCAAAUAUGGGGAUAAAAAUUUGCGUGCUUGCAAAAAUAUCGUACCGUACUUGUAUUUGUGAACAUCUCUGAAUUAGCUCCACUACAUGUGGAAAUUCCAACAAGCGAUUUGGAUUAUUUUAUAAGAUCUCACAAUGAAUUAUGGGAUAACAUCACAUAUUACGCCAAAGAUAAUCAAAAUCGAGUAUAUUCGAUAUCUUACUAAAUCGAGAAAUUGAAGUUGGGUUCGCAAAAUUGGAAAAGUUUGCUCGUGUCAUUAACAGUUUUGUGAGAAAUUACCGCUUUCAUCUUUGUUCUGGAUGUAACUUACUUGACGCACAAAACUGUAAAUGACACGAGCAAACUUUUUUCCAAUUUUGUUUAUCCAUCUUCCUACAUCGAAUAUUCUUCUUCUAGGGUUUCGAUAAUUUCAUUUUUCGGUUUCUCAUUUUCAAUUCGUUUCCAAUAUAAAAUACAUAUUAUUUCUUGACUUCGAGAAUUUGAUAUAGAACUCUGGGAACGGUAUAAUGAUCGCAAAAAAAUUUAUAUAUAAUAUCCAUCGUUCAGAUUACACGACAAAAUAAAUUCGUCAAAAUAAAUCCGGACAAAAUAAAUCUGGAUAAAA